GUAGGGAAUCUUCGGCAAUGGGGGCAACCCUGACCGAGCAACGCCGCGUGAGUGAAGAAGGUUUUCGUAUCGUAAAGCUCUGUUGUAAGAGAAGAACGUGUGUGAGAGUGGAAAGUUCACACAGUGACGGUAACUUACCAGAAAGGGACGGCUAACUACGUGCCAGCAGCCGCGGUAAUACGUAGGUCCCGAGCGUUGUCCGGAUUUAUUGGGCGUAAAGCGAGCGCAGGCGGUUUAGUAAGUCUGAAGUUAAAGGCAGUGGCUUAACCAUUGUUCGCUUUGGAAACUGUUCAACUUGAGUGCAGAAGGAGAGAGUGGAAUUCCAUGUGUAGCGGUGAAAUGCGUAGAUAUAUGGAGGAACACCGGUGGCGAGAGCGGCUCUCUGGUCUGUAACUGACGCUGAGGCUCGAAAGCGUGGGGAGCAAACAGGAUUAGAAACCCCUGUAGUCC
RNAcentral lists this ribosomal RNA (450 nucleotides) under uncultured bacterium. RNAcentral describes it as "partial 16S ribosomal RNA". It matches the Rfam family "Bacterial small subunit ribosomal RNA", at positions 354 to 796 of the family's 1533-position model. The record is from RNAcentral.